This 930-nucleotide ribosomal RNA is filed under the name Triticum aestivum (bread wheat). RNAcentral describes it as "partial small subunit ribosomal RNA". Lineage: Eukaryota; Viridiplantae; Streptophyta; Magnoliopsida; Poales; Poaceae. The record is from RNAcentral.
AUGAGGAGAAGUGAUGCGUGCCUCCUCCUUGGCUUCAUGGCCAUCACUGUUGUUCUCAUUGUCUGCGGGUGGUAUUCAUCUUCUCCGCCCGAUGGCCCGAGUUUCUCCGUCAAGCUCACGGGCGUGGGUGGUCUCGUCCCGCAGGGCGGCGGCGGCCCGGCGGUGAUCCACCCGGCGUUCGGCCUUACCCUCCGAGCCCACAACGGCCAGAGCUUCAAGACCUGCAGGGAGAACGUCACGACCACGGUGCUGUACGGCAAAGUGGUGCUGGGAUGGGCCCGCGUGCCGGACUUCUGCGUCGACGAGUGGGCGUCCACGGAGAUGAGCGCCGUGGUGUCCAACGCCGACGUGGUUCUCACCGAUGACCUGCGACGUCGUCUGGACUCGGAGCUGCUCGCCGGGACGCUGGAGCUGGAUGUGGAGACGAGGAUCCAACUUCAACUAGCUAGUAUGUCUAAUCAAGAGCCUUCAUGCAGCAUGUUGCAUCAAGCAGCACCCAUGUACCUGCCAUCGACGUCAUACACAGGUUAUUACGCUGGUGGUAACCCGGCAAACGUCUCAUGGCAAGCUUCACAAAUUGUAGGUGGAGCACGUCAUUAUGGUGUCACAGACCACACAAGAUGGUCAAAUGCAGCACAACAAGGGCCUACAACUACACUGAACAGCGGCGCGGGGACAUCUACGGCGGGGAGCUCUGAGCGCAUGGAAGACGUGUUCCACCAGCCAGCAAACAAUCAUGCCGCAAAAAAUUUCGAGUCAGAGUCGGGAAUGGCAAUCAUUCCAGCAAUGCCGACAAGCACCCCUUUGAACACAAGCACUGGCAACACUCAAUUAGAUGGAACUGCCGCCGAUACCGAAGUGAAUGAUGAAACUGACGAUGACGCACAAGGGGAUGAAGAUGGUGGGCAAUCAGAGAUCGUGGUACCUUAG